ACAAUUAUUACGGUGGUUCUCCAACCCCCAUCUGUCCACCCACCCUCCACUCCACACACCCCUGCUCGCAACCCAUGGCAAUUGAGUUACGGAGAACUCAGUGAGGGGUGGUCACUGGCUCAAGGUGGUGAGUCGGAGACGCCGGCGGAUCUGCUUCCUAGGCCAGUUACGGCCCCGGCCCCCUUCAGCGCCUUGUUCUAGAGGAGUAGGCAAAAUUUACUUGUGUGCCGUCUGUUUGUUAGUUCAUCACAUGGUGGCGCCACUGGACCAGGCGGCACCGCAUGCCACAUUGGAACAAGAUCAGCGAGACGCCGCCACAGCCACAGAGAAUAGCGGCAGGGAUCACGGAGCUGCCGACAUAGCAGAUGCUGAUCCAGGCGAAGCAAUAGGCGCUCCUGGAUCCGCACCUUCUGUCACGUCAAGGAUUUCGGUGCAGAAGGUGUGCUCACUCGUGGGCAAGUUUAACAAAUUCAAGAGGGAUUUGGUCGAGGAGAUAGGCUUUGGUGGGAUGCUGGGGAUUCAGAUGUUGGCAAAGUUGAAUUUGAAAUUCAGCGCGUGGCUAAUGGAAAGAGUCGACGUCGAGUCGAGUACACUGAAAAUAGACGAGCAAAGGGUUCUGCAGAUCCAGGACCAUGAUGUCCAGAAGGUAUUCAGUCUGCCAUGUGGCACCAGAUCGAUAUGCCCCGAUACAACCGAGCCAUCCGAAGCCUGCAAAGAGUUCAUGCGAGCUUCUGCCUAUUUGAGCAAAGGCGCGCAUAGUCUAAAGGCCGCGGAGGCUUAUCUCCUGAGAGAUGACAUCAAUGCAGAUUCCAGCAAGGUCCAGAUAGAUUGCUUCAAGAUAGCCUUUGUUAUUUUUGUUGUUGGGCACCUGUUGGCUCCAUCGACUAAGCAUGACUACAUCACCAUAGAUUUCUGGGCUGCACUCAACGAUAUCUCGCAAGUUAAGGAAUUUAAUUGGUGUGCUUAUGUACUCGAGCAUUUGAACAGAGCUGUUGGGAAGUUGAAAACUGAUAUCCGCAACCGGAACAUCACUGUACAUCUUGUUGGCUGCCACCUGUUUCUUCAGGUAUUCUACUUGGACAAUCUUGAUCUUGGUCCACUUUCCAAGACAAAAGACCAUCUACCAAGGAUUAGUCUUUUUGACUACGAGUCGGUUAAGAAGAUGAUAGAAGUGAUCACUAGCAACGUGGACGGAGAUACAUCAUUCGCUGGAGCUAGUUUUAGGCGCGCUCAAGAUGUUUGCUACUCCAGAGUCCACUACGAAAGCCACACUCACCGACCAGAUGUAGCUUCUGACCUGCCCCAUCAUGCCCCAGGUUUUGUUGGCACAAAGCACCAACACAACCCAAUUACUCCCAUGCUACGAAGCAGCUUCACUGAAACUGGACAAGAAGAUUUCUCCAACCAUCUCCGACUGAAAUACCCGUCAUUUGCAGACCACCCGCUUAUGACCAUUUUGGAAGAACAUAAUGCACACAUGUUGGAAAAUAUAUCUGAAAUUAGGCGAAGUUGCGAAGUGGCGAUGUCUACCUUCGCGGACAAGCUUCUGGGCUAUAUAUCUGAGAACCGCUGUUGCUGCAGAGCGGUGGGACGAACCGAUUGUUUACUGAGGUCGCCGCACACAAUUCAUGGGAACACGCUUGGCACACCUACAACACGUCAAUCCUGAUUUUACUGGGGCACGAUGUAGUCAUAGGGUUUUAAACUUUUAAUACAUUAGCACUGUUCUUAUGGUUCCCUGUUAGUUCACCACCCACCCCCUCUCCCCCAAUUACGGUAGGGUACUGAUUUGUUUUUCUCGUUGGGUGUACCAGAGAGUUCAACCGAGCAGAAUUCACUCUCUCACAAACGGGAUGCACCUGAGCCCACUGGAGCAGGACAUCACAAGAAGAUCCGGGUGAACCAGCCUCUAGUUGAGACAGACCUUCAAGCAAGUAUACCUGGAUGCUCAACUAGCAACAGCCUACCCCGCAGUCCUUUACAAGUUGACAUCAACCUGGCUGCACCGUAGGCCGGAUGAGCGUCUGUAUUUUGCGUUCAGCAUCAACUUUCAUGCUGUACGUAACACUGGAUCAGCAGCCCUCAUGUCAUCAGAAAUGUCCGUUGUCUUCGUAGCAUAGUGUCUUAGGCUUUCAUCACCAACUUGCACGAUAUAUGUGAACUCUGAUUGUUCACGGCUUAGUUUGCUGCAUACGGUCUUAAGCGAUCGUUUGGUGCGCAUUCUCUAGGGUCCCGAAGAAAUUCCCGAUAAUGCUGUAAACUCUAGCCAGGCUAACAUGUUUCUCCCUGAGUUGCUUAACCAAUUAAGUCUUUUGUGCAA
This is an RNA transcript of Aegilops tauschii subsp. strangulata, 2320 nucleotides long. RefSeq lists it as uncharacterized. NCBI's taxonomy places the organism in Eukaryota, Viridiplantae, Streptophyta, Magnoliopsida, Poales, Poaceae. The record is from RefSeq and is a predicted model, not a curated record.